UACGUAGGUGGCAAGCGUUGUCCGGAUUUAUUGGGUUUAAAGGGUGCGUAGGCGGUCUUUUAAGUCAGUGCUGAAAUAUCCCGGCUUAACCGGGAGGGUGGCAUUGAUACUGAAGGACUUGAGUACGGUCGAGGUAGGCGGAAUUGACGGUGUAGCGGUGAAAUGCUUAGAUAUCGUCAAGAACACCGAUAGUGUAGACAGCUUACUAGGCUGAAACUGACGCUGAGGCACGAAAGUGUGGGGAUCAAACAGG
Molecule: ribosomal RNA, 253 nt
Filed under: uncultured bacterium
Lineage: Bacteria
Description: partial 16S ribosomal RNA
Rfam family: Bacterial small subunit ribosomal RNA
Source: RNAcentral